UACGGAGGGUGCGAGCGUUAUCCGGAAUUACUGGGUUUAAAGGGCGCGUAGGCGGCCUGUUAAGUCGAACGUGAAAUCCCCGGGCUCAACCCGGGAACUGCGUCCGAUACUGGCAGGCUUGAAUUCGGGAGAGGGAUGCGGAAUUCCAGGUGUAGCGGUGAAAUGCGUAGAUAUCUGGAGGAACACCGGUGGCGAAGGCGGCAUCCUGGACCGAGAUUGACGCUGAGGCGCGAAAGCCAGGGGAGCAAACGGG
RNAcentral lists this ribosomal RNA (253 nucleotides) under uncultured bacterium. RNAcentral's name for it is "partial 16S ribosomal RNA". It matches the Rfam family "Bacterial small subunit ribosomal RNA", at positions 524 to 776 of the family's 1533-position model. The record is from RNAcentral.